AUACGGAGGAUGCGAGCGUUAUCCGGAUUUAUUGGGUUUAAAGGGUGCGUAGGCUGUGCGUUAAGUCAGGGGUGAAAUGCCGUCGCUCAACGACGGAGCUGCCCUUGAUACUGGCGUGCUGGAGUACGGAUGCCGUUGGAGGAAUGAGAGGUGUAGCGGUGGAAUGCUUAGAUAUAACUCAGAACACCGAUUGCGAAGGCAUCUGACGAAUCCGUCACGGACGCUGAGGCACGAAAGCGUGGGGAUAGAACAGGAUUAGAUACCCUGGUAUUCCACGCCGUAAACGAUGAUGACUAACCGUCGGCGAUAGACAGCCGGUGGCCAAGCGAAAGCGAUAAGUCAUCCACCUGGGGAGUACGUCGGCAACGAUGAAACUCAAAUGAAUUGACGGGG
RNAcentral lists this ribosomal RNA (393 nucleotides) under uncultured bacterium. RNAcentral describes it as "partial 16S ribosomal RNA". It matches the Rfam family "Bacterial small subunit ribosomal RNA", at positions 523 to 918 of the family's 1533-position model. The record is from RNAcentral.